Molecule: RNA transcript, 1862 nt
Organism: Daucus carota subsp. sativus
Lineage: Eukaryota; Viridiplantae; Streptophyta; Magnoliopsida; Apiales; Apiaceae
Exons: 14
Source: RefSeq, a predicted model, not a curated record
UCUUUUUCCCUUCCAUCGAGUUGAACUGUGUAUUGAUUUGGGCGAGCACCAGACCAAAUUAACGGACCAUCGGAGAUCGUAAGAGCAUCGAAACGAUACAAGUAAAAGGAAAGUAGAGUAUUGUGUUGGAAAAGCAGAGAAGCAGACAAUGGAUUCGGUCCCAGAAGAAGUUAGUAACAGCAGCUCAGGAGGAGGAGAAGGAGGAGCUGAAAACACAAACACACACGAGAACCGUUCUCAGCAACGUCAAUUACCAAUCCGCCCUCCUAUUCAGCCGGCAUCAGAGAAGUACUCUCCCUUAAAUUGGUCUGCCUAUUUUGACCAAGAGGAUGAUGUUUCUAUCCCUGAAUCAGAUGAUAUCUUCCAUGUAUAUACGGCAGGAAAGGAAGGACCAGUUGUCUUUUGUCUGCAUGGAGGCGGGUAUUCUGGGCUGUCAUUUGCAUUAGCAGCGAAAACAAUUAAGCAGGAAGCCAGGAUAGUAGCUAUGGAUCUGAGAGGACAUGGAAAGUCAUCUACUGAGAAUGAGUUAGACUUGUCAAUUGAGACUUUAUGUGGUGAUGUCCUUGCUGUUUUAAAGACAAUGUAUGGAAAUUCUCCUCCUGCAAUAGUGCUCGUUGGUCAUAGCAUGGGAGGUUCAGUUGCAGUCCACGUUGCUGCUAAGAAAGUAUUACCUAGUUUGGCUGGGUUGAUUGUCGUGGAUGUCGUAGAGGGAACUGCCAUGGCUUCCUUGAUGCAUAUGCAGAAAAUUCUGUCAAACAGAAUGCAAUACUUUCCUACCAUUGAGAAAGCGAUUGAAUGGAGUGUAAAAGGAGGAACUUUAAGAAAUGUAGAGUCUGCACGUAUAUCCAUUCCCAGUACAGUGAAGUAUGAUGAUUCCAAAAAGUGUUACGUUCACAGAGCAAAUCUGAUGGAAACGGAACAAUACUGGAGAGGCUGGUAUGAAGGCCUAUCAGAAAAGUUUUUGUCGUCACCUGUUCCGAAGAUAUUGCUGCUAGCUGGAACAGAUAGACUGGACAGGGCACUUACUAUUGGUCAAAUGCAAGGAAAGUUCCAGAUGGUACUAGUUAGACAUACUGGCCAUGCUAUACAGGAAGAUGUACCUGAUGAAUUUGCCACCAUUGUUCUUAAUUUUAUCUCACGUAACAGGAUAGGACCAAAUGGAGUUGAGCAUUGCAGAUUUACCAAUAUGAGAAAAUAAACAACAAUUUAGCACUUUCCUCCACUGUAGUGUUGAUCCUUGGAGAGAUCCGCUAGGAGCUUAUUGUUUAAUGAAACAUGAUGCAGUAGACUUGUUCUCCUUGGUUGGGGUACUGAGGUGAUGUGGCACUAUGGGUUGCAUAUUAGCAGGCAUUUAUCUUUUUAAAUUGCCCCCCUGACGGGCAGUAGGGAGCAGUCAGGUACCACCCUCCCACCAAGGCAUUGAUCCUUGCAGGGAGCAGUCAGAUACCAGGACUGCGUCGACCAAUGAAGUCACAGCAGUAAACAGAUGUGAAAGAACUUAAAGCUGACUUGUAAUGAUGCGAGAUUGGUUAAUAUAUGUGUUUAGAUGCCGGAUAAUCAAGGGGAUGCAAGACAUAUUUACUCAGAGUGAUUGUUUAUCUUCCGGUGCAGUUAAAAUGCUCAAGAGUCAUUUAGCGCAAAAAGAAAAAAGAAACUUAAGAGUCGGUUUUACACAAAAAAAUUCUAAGGAGCCGGUCAAUUUUAUUAUUCAAGUGCCAUGACAUUAACUGGCGUUGGUUUUAUAUUAGCAUGUCUAGACUUCAGCUACUAUAUGUAUCUAUGGACCAGGUUUUGUUAUGUGAACUUUUACCUAUGUGAAAAUUUACAAAUAUGAGUCAAAUAUUAGAUAUACAAUAUUACAA